UACGGAGGAUCCAAGCGUUAUCCGGAUUCAUUGGGUUUAAAGGGUGCGUAGGCGGAAUGAUAAGUCAGUGGUGAAAGCCUGCAGCUUAACUGCAGAACUGCCAUUGAUACUGUCAAUCUUGAGUACAUUUGAUGUGGGCGGAAUGUGUCAUGUAGCGGUGAAAUGCUUAGAUAUGACACAGAACACCGAUUAGCGAAGGCAGCUCACAAAACUGUAAACUGACGCUUGAGGCACGAAAAGCCGUGGGGGAGCGAACAGG
RNAcentral lists this ribosomal RNA (259 nucleotides) under uncultured bacterium. Its description in RNAcentral is "partial 16S ribosomal RNA". It matches the Rfam family "Bacterial small subunit ribosomal RNA", at positions 524 to 776 of the family's 1533-position model. The record is from RNAcentral.